UACAUGGGGUGCAAACGUUGCUCGGAAUCAUUGGGCGUAAAGCGCGCGUAGGCGGUUACUUAUGUCGGAUGUGAAAGCCCUCGGCUUAACUGAGGAAGUGCAUUCGAAACUGGGUAGCUAGAGUACUAAAGAGGGUCGCGGAAUUCCCGGUGUAGAGGUGAAAUUCGUAGAUAUCGGGAGGAACACCGGUGGCGAAGGCGGCGACCUGGGUAGAUACUGACGCUGAGGCGCGAAAGCGUGGGGAGCAAACAGG
This 253-nucleotide ribosomal RNA is filed under the name uncultured bacterium. RNAcentral describes it as "partial 16S ribosomal RNA". It matches the Rfam family "Bacterial small subunit ribosomal RNA", at positions 524 to 776 of the family's 1533-position model. RNAcentral also lists the same sequence under 1 other name. The record is from RNAcentral.